RNAcentral lists this transfer RNA (59 nucleotides) under Callipepla squamata (scaled quail). It matches the Rfam family "tRNA", at positions 8 to 63 of the family's 71-position model. From Rfam's summary of the family: Transfer RNA (tRNA) molecules are approximately 80 nucleotides in length. Their secondary structure includes four short double-helical elements and three loops (D, anti-codon, and T loops). Lineage: Eukaryota; Metazoa; Chordata; Aves; Galliformes; Odontophoridae. The record is from Rfam by way of RNAcentral.
UAGCUCAGUUGGUAGAGCAUGGGACUCUUAAUCCCAGUGGUCGUGGGUUCAACAGCCAC